GCUUCCAUAGCUUAACGGAUAAAGUACUGGUCUUCGGAACCAGUGAUGGGGGUUCGAUUCCUCCUGGGAGCACCC
This 75-nucleotide transfer RNA is filed under the name Candidatus Roizmanbacteria bacterium. RNAcentral describes it as "tRNA-Arg". It matches the Rfam family "tRNA". Rfam says of the family: Transfer RNA (tRNA) molecules are approximately 80 nucleotides in length. Their secondary structure includes four short double-helical elements and three loops (D, anti-codon, and T loops). Lineage: Bacteria; Candidatus Roizmaniibacteriota. The record is from RNAcentral.